GACAGAGGGUGCAAACGUUGUUCGGAAUUACUGGGCGUAAAGCGCGUGUAGGCGGCCAUCUAAGUCGGGCGUGAAAUCCCACGGCUCAACCGUGGAAGUGCACUCGAAACUGGAUGGCUAGAGUCCUGGAGAGGAAGGUGGAAUGCUUGGUGUAGAGGUGAAAUUCGUAGAUAUCAAGCGGAACACCGGUGGCGAAGGCGGCCUUCUGGACAGUGACUGA
This 220-nucleotide ribosomal RNA is filed under the name uncultured bacterium. Its description in RNAcentral is "partial 16S ribosomal RNA". It matches the Rfam family "Bacterial small subunit ribosomal RNA", at positions 524 to 743 of the family's 1533-position model. The record is from RNAcentral.